RNAcentral lists this ribosomal RNA (397 nucleotides) under Escherichia coli. Its description in RNAcentral is "bacterial SSU rRNA". It matches the Rfam family "Bacterial small subunit ribosomal RNA", at positions 90 to 483 of the family's 1533-position model. Lineage: Bacteria; Pseudomonadati; Pseudomonadota; Gammaproteobacteria; Enterobacterales; Enterobacteriaceae. The record is from RNAcentral.
GACGAGUGGCGGACGGGUGAGUAAUGUCUGGGAAACUGCCUGAUGGAGGGGGAUAACUACUGGAAACGGUAGCUAAUACCGCAUAACGUCGCAAGACCAAAGAGGGGGACCUUCGGGCCUCUUGCCAUCGGAUGUGCCCAGAUGGGAUUAGCUAGUAGGUGGGGUAACGGCUCACCUAGGCGACGAUCCCUAGCUGGUCUGAGAGGAUGACCAGCCACACUGGAACUGAGACACGGUCCAGACUCCUACGGGAGGCAGCAGUGGGGAAUAUUGCACAAUGGGCGCAAGCCUGAUGCAGCCAUGCCGCGUGUAUGAAGAAGGCCUUCGGGUUGUAAAGUACUUUCAGCGGGGAGGAAGGGAGUAAAGUUAAUACCUUUGCUCAUUGACGUUACCCGCA